GGUUGGUGGUGCAUGGCCGUUCUUAGUUCGUGGAGCGAUCUGUCUGGUUAAUUCCGAUAACGAACGAGACUCUUGCCUGCUAAAUAGACGGCGCCGCUUCCUACGGCGACCGCGCGCUUCUUAGAGGGACAAGCGGCUCUUAGCCGCGUGAAGCGAAGAGCAAUAACAGGUCAGUGAUGCCCUCAGAUGUUCGGGGCCGCACGCGCGCUACACUGCUUGCGUCAACGUGUGCGUCCCUCGCCUGACGGCGCGGGCAAUCCGUUGAACCGCAAGCGUGCUAGGGAUCGGAGAUUGCAAUUCUUCUCCGUCAACGAGGAAUUCCUUGUACUCGCGAGUCAUCAGCUCGCAGGGAAUCUGUCCCUGCCCUUUGUACACACCGCCCGUCGCUACUACCGAUUGAGUGGUUUAGUGAGGCUCACGGACCGCUGGCGGCACCCGGCGCUCGCGCGCCACGUCGCCGGCGGAAAGUGAUACGAACUUGAUCACUUCUAGGAAGUAAAA
Molecule: ribosomal RNA, 501 nt
Filed under: Membranipora membranacea
Lineage: Eukaryota; Metazoa; Bryozoa; Gymnolaemata; Cheilostomatida; Membraniporidae
Description: SSU rRNA
Rfam family: Eukaryotic small subunit ribosomal RNA
Source: RNAcentral